CAGAUGCGAAGCCAGUUCUUCAAAAGUAGGAAGAAACGCAAACCCACUGAUUUGCAUUUUGCUAAAUGACGUUCUUUCCCCAUCUCACACUCCCUGUGAAAUCUGGCACUUUACUGAAGUUCUAAUUAACGACUGAUUUUUGCACUUCUAGAUACCACCUGCAUGCCUUUGUCUGUGGACCCUUCCUUCAACUGAAAGCAAGAAGUGUAGGAUCUUCAGAUAUUUCUGUUGCUCUCCUGCCUCCCUCUUUCACUUAUAAGGAACCUUGUGAUUCCAUUGGGCCCACCUGGAAAUCCACUUUGGCCGUGUAAGGGUAGAGACAUUUGCUUAGAAUGAAAUGGAUUCCGAAAUAAUCACUUUCAUCUCCUAAAUGAGCCUACCCAGGAAGAAAAAGCUAUGAAGCCAUCAAUGCAACCCCCUCCCUGUUCCUCACCGAAGUAUUGAAACAAAAUGUUUGCAACCCAAGGACUUCAUUUCUGAGAGGCCUGUAAGUUAACAGCCUUGCUUAUGGAACCUCAAGUUACAAACAUAUUCCAAAUAUUUACCUAAAAAUUUAAGUUCCUCUCAAUUGUUUGGAGAUAAGAUAUUGAGGAUCACGAUGCUAUGUAAAGAAGAAUAUCAU
Molecule: non-coding RNA, 622 nt
Organism: Equus caballus (horse)
Lineage: Eukaryota; Metazoa; Chordata; Mammalia; Perissodactyla; Equidae
Source: RefSeq, a predicted model, not a curated record